GCGGGCAUAGCUCAGUGGUAGAGCAUCAGCUUCCCAAGCUGAGGGCCGUGGGUUCGACCCCCAUUGCCCGCU
Molecule: transfer RNA, 72 nt
Filed under: Bacteroidota bacterium
Lineage: Bacteria; Pseudomonadati; Bacteroidota
Also listed under: 3 other names
Description: Bacteroidetes bacterium tRNA-Gly
Rfam family: tRNA
About the family: Transfer RNA (tRNA) molecules are approximately 80 nucleotides in length.
Source: RNAcentral